This 30-nucleotide non-coding RNA is filed under the name Rattus norvegicus (Norway rat). Lineage: Eukaryota; Metazoa; Chordata; Mammalia; Rodentia; Muridae. The record is from RNAcentral.
UGCCAAGAAUAUUAAUCAAAUCUUCUUGUG